AAAACAGAUAUAGAAACUCAUAGGGUAUGUUACAGAGCUGGAGACUGAGCAGAUCACAGUCUCUCCUUCUGAGUACAUUAUGGGCCAGCCCAAAUCAACAUGCUCUUUAUUUGGGUACAAAGAAGAGGGUGGAUUCUGCACAGCCCUAAUCAGUACCAUCCAAUUUGUUGUUCUCUGUACAGAAGUUUCACAAAGUGAAAAUGGAGGGAAUUGGGUCCACUUAUUUCAUCUUGAGUCAUUUGGUGGCUUCCAGCAAUACACUUUCCAGAAGGUUCCAGUGUGUUCCACCCCAGAAAGUGUUUAUGAUGCAACUGGCUGUGCGGCAUGAAAGAGGAGAGUGACAUUGAACAUUUGGCAGGGCAGGAGAAAGUCCAGCUAGAAGAAAAGAAAGCAUCUAACAUAAUCCUUGUCCCUCUCUCAAUGCUGAAUUCAGAUUAU
RNAcentral lists this long non-coding RNA (438 nucleotides) under Pogona vitticeps (central bearded dragon). RNAcentral's name for it is "lncRNA (ENSPVIG00000011476.1)". Lineage: Eukaryota; Metazoa; Chordata; Lepidosauria; Squamata; Agamidae. The record is from RNAcentral.